UUUAGUAGGAAAUAAAAGGACUUUUGAGUCAUUUCUUAUGAUUUUGGUUUUAAUCCAUGGAGGGGAUGACAUGUGUAGGCGUAUGUGGUUGCACCAUAUCCAUUCAUUUUAUAACAUAUAGUAUGCCUAGUGUUUUGUUCUUAGAAACCAUUUUGGCAAAACCCAAUUUUCGUGCAUCCUAUUUCCUUUCCAUAGUGAUACCUUUUAAGCUAAAUUUUGGAAGCUUUGUGUUGGGAUUUUGAUGGGGCUUUGUGAAGGAAAAAUGUUCCUUAGUGAGGGUUCUUUUGAUAUCAAACUUGAGUCCAUUUCUUUUGUUGUUGGGUUUGGAAAGUGGUGUUAAAAGAAGAGGGUUUUGGUUGCAAACAAAGAAGGAAAGUGUUCUUCACCUUCUAGUUGCUGAUUUUGAUCCAUUUUUGGUUUGGUUUUGAAUUGUUGAGCAAGUGUUCAAGCUUCCCUUGAGGUCAUAGCAUGGAUGGUGUGGAGGGUGUUCCUCCUCAGCUGUAGACAGAGUCGGGGCUGGUGUUGUUGUGUUAUAUUCCGCAUAAUAGACUGUGUUUUGUAUUAUAUUUCCUAGAAUUUUCCUGGCAUGUAAUAAAUUUUCUUUCAGACUUUAAAACUUUAAAGUUUUAAUAUUUGCAUCU
Cornus florida is the source of this 641-nucleotide long non-coding RNA. RefSeq lists it as uncharacterized. The record is from RefSeq and is a predicted model, not a curated record. The transcript is spliced from 2 exons. NCBI's taxonomy places the organism in Eukaryota, Viridiplantae, Streptophyta, Magnoliopsida, Cornales, Cornaceae.